UACGUAGGUGGCAAGCGUUGUCCGGAAUUAUUGGGCGUAAAGCGCGCGCAGGUGGUUUCUUAAGUCUGAUGUGAAAGCCCACGGCUCAACCGUGGAGGGUCAUUGGAAACUGGGGAACUUGAGUGCAGGAGAGAAGAGUGGAAUUCCACGUGUAGCGGUGAAAUGCGUAGAUAUGUGGAGGAACACCGAUGGCGAAGGCAGCCUUCUGGGCCAACACUGACGCUCAUGCACGAAAGCGUGGGGAGCAAACAGG
RNAcentral lists this ribosomal RNA (253 nucleotides) under uncultured bacterium. Its description in RNAcentral is "partial 16S ribosomal RNA". It matches the Rfam family "Bacterial small subunit ribosomal RNA", at positions 524 to 776 of the family's 1533-position model. The record is from RNAcentral.